AUGAGCUCGCUUGCAACUGCAAGAAGCAGCAACGCGCCGCUCCUCCUCCUCUUCCUCCUUCUCAUUUUUGUUUCUUUACUGCACAUCUGUGUGGGGGAUUAUCUCGAUGACGCCUCUGCUCCCGCCCCCACUCCCGCCACAGCCACCCCGUCCCCCUUCUCAUUCAGCUUUGAUUUCUCCAACGCAUCCACCUACCGCUUAGAAGACCUUAGGUUCGAGGGUGACGCAACCAUGCACGGCGACCUGGUUGACCUCACCUGCAACACUUUCGGGAAGAACCCAAAGUUUUGCACGGGACGGGUGUCCUACGGGCACCCCGUGCCGUUCUACGACAACGUCACCGGUGAGGUGGCCAGCUUCCAGGCGCGGUUCACCUUCGCGAUCCUCAUCGACGACUAUACUAUGAACUACAAGGGGGACGGCAUGACUUUCUUCCUUGGCUGUUACCCGUCCACGAUGCCGCUGAACUCGGGUGGGGGAAAUCUAGGCAUCAUGCCGGAUGGCGACGGCAAGAGCCGGACCGCCUUCGGGAACGACCGGUUCAUCGCCGUGGAGUUCGACACCUUCAACAACUCCUGGGACCCCAACACCACCUACGACCAUAUCGGCAUCGACAUCAGCUCCGUCAUGGACUCGGUGAACACGACAGUACUAGAUAGCUUCAGCCUCAAUGGCUCCAUGACGGCCACCGUCACCUUUGACAACACCACCCGGAUGCUGGUAGCCAACCUGCACUUUGAUGACCAUACUUACAUUGCCCCUGUUCAGGUCAGCACGCAAUUACCCGAUCCAGUCACCACCUUGCUCCCGCCUCAGGUUGCCAUAGGGUUCUCUGCAGCCACAGGCAAAGACAUGGAGCUGCAUCAGAUACUCUCAUGGUCAUUCAACUCCUCACUUGCUCCGCCUCACAAAGAUCAUGACAUGAAGGCUGCAGUUGUUGGAGGGUCGCUUGGAGGAGUUGUAGCAUUGGUGGUUAUGGUGUGGUGUAUCAUUGCAUGUUUCAAGUGGACAAGGAGCACAAGCCAUGAGGCACGAACUGGAGGACCCAAACGGUUCGAAUACCGCGAGCUGGCUUCUGCAACAGACAACUUCUCUAAGGAGAGGGUUAUUGGGAGAGGUGCCUUUGGAGAAGUCUACAGGGGUACAUUCUCCAAGGGAUCAUCAUCGGGUGCUCAGAAUCAGGCGGUAUGUCCUCCAAGGAAUCAUGUUCAUCAUCCUCCAAGGAUUCGGGUGCGUCAUCGAACUCAAACUCGAAAGAAUCAUACAGCGGUGAGGUGGCUGUAA
This 1284-nucleotide ribosomal RNA is filed under the name Triticum aestivum (bread wheat). Its description in RNAcentral is "partial small subunit ribosomal RNA". The record is from RNAcentral. Lineage: Eukaryota; Viridiplantae; Streptophyta; Magnoliopsida; Poales; Poaceae.